Molecule: ribosomal RNA, 406 nt
Filed under: uncultured bacterium
Lineage: Bacteria
Description: partial 16S ribosomal RNA
Rfam family: Bacterial small subunit ribosomal RNA
Source: RNAcentral
AUUGAACGCUGGCGGCAGGCCUAACACAUGCAAGUCGAACGACUGGCGGUCGGGUGAGUUAUGUCUGGGCAUCUGCCUGCUGGAUGGGUAUAACUACUGGAAACUGUAACUGAUACCGCAUAACCUCGUUUGUUCCCAGAUGGGAUUAGCUAGUAGGUGGGGUAAAGGCUCACCAAGGCGACGAUCCCUAGCCGGUCUGAGAGGAUGACCAGCCACACUGGAACUGAGACACGGUCCAGACUCCUACGGGAGGCAGCAGUGGGGAAUAUUGCACAAUGGGCGCAAGCCUGAUGCAGCCAGGCCGCGUGGAUGAAGAAGGCCUUCGGGUUGUAAAGUACUUUCAGCGGGGAGGCGUUACCCGCAGAAGAAGCACCGGAUAACUCCGUGCCAGCAGCCGCGGUAAUAC